GGCCUACGUCACGACGGUCGUGUGGCGGCCUGUAAAGACGUUAAGUCCGGGUUCGACUCCCGGGUAGGUCUCCA
RNAcentral lists this transfer RNA (74 nucleotides) under Actinomycetota bacterium. RNAcentral describes it as "tRNA-Tyr". Lineage: Bacteria; Bacillati; Actinomycetota. The record is from RNAcentral.